RNAcentral lists this ribosomal RNA (253 nucleotides) under uncultured bacterium. RNAcentral's name for it is "partial 16S ribosomal RNA". It matches the Rfam family "Bacterial small subunit ribosomal RNA", at positions 524 to 776 of the family's 1533-position model. The record is from RNAcentral.
UACGGAGGAUUCAAGCGUUAUCCGGAUUUAUUGGGUUUAAAGGGUGCGUAGGCGGUCUGAUAAGUUAGAGGUGAAAUCCCGGGGCUUAACUCCGGAAUUGCCUCUGAUACUGUUGGGCUAGAGAGUAGUUGCGGUAGGCGGAAUGUAUGGUGUAGCGGUGAAAUGCUUAGAGAUCAUACAGAACACCGAUUGCGAAGGCAGCUUGCCAAACUAUAUCUGACGUUGAGGCACGAAAGCGUGGGGAGCAAACAGG